RNAcentral lists this long non-coding RNA (610 nucleotides) under Nicotiana benthamiana. RNAcentral describes it as "long non-coding RNA (NBEN_LNC018653)". The record is from RNAcentral. Lineage: Eukaryota; Viridiplantae; Streptophyta; Magnoliopsida; Solanales; Solanaceae.
CCUUACUUGUCCUGUCUGGAAAACCAAUAGAUAAUUGACCAUUUUAUACCUAUUCUACCUUAAUAUUUUCCAAUAUUUAUAAUUUAUAAUAGUCAAAUUAGUUUUUCAAUAAUAAUAAUAAUAAUUGGGGGUGUUGUAGUAAAAUUACCACAUUAUUUCUUACUUAUUUCUUAAGGGAUGUGUUCAGAGACGGAUUCAAGAUUUAAAUUUUAUGGGUUUAAUUUUUGAUGCUUUUAGCAUUGACUCAUUAUAUAUUUAAAGUUAUGGGUUCAUAUCUACUAUUUUUACAAUUUUAAUAAAAUUUUAAAUAUAAAUUUUUACUCCGUGUCGAAAACUAUAGGUUUAAUUGAACCCGUCGAUAAUGUACUACAACAGCCCUUGGACGUGUCAAGUCAAUAGUGGACAAGUAAACUUACACGGAUGAAAUACUUGGAAAAGUCGAGAAGGCAUUAAUCUUUUCUAAUUUUACCCUCACAGUCUCAUGAAGACGUAUAAUCAUUAAUUACCCGCUUAAAUAAAGAAAUAAAGAUAAUAUAGUCAAAUUAACCAUAUUGUUAUGAAAUCUCCUAUUUAAGGUGAAUGUCUAUAAUUAGAGAGAUUCUAGAGUUCU